Molecule: long non-coding RNA, 420 nt
Filed under: Gossypium barbadense (sea-island cotton)
Lineage: Eukaryota; Viridiplantae; Streptophyta; Magnoliopsida; Malvales; Malvaceae
Description: long non-coding RNA (GBAR_LNC006047)
Source: RNAcentral
AAUCUUUGGAAAUUGCAACGAGACCCACGGGUUUGGGAAAAUGCCGAUGAGUUUCGUCCAGAAAGGUUCAUGACGACGCAUGUUGAUUUCGACGUUAGGGGUCAAAAUUUUGAAUACAUGCCGUUUAGCUCCGGUAGAAGGUCAUGCCCUGGAAUCACGUUUGGGUUACAAGUUGUUCACUUGAUGGUGGCAAAACUAAUUCAGGGAUUUGAUAUUAAGACCGCAGAAGGGACUGCGGUGGAUAUGGAAGAAGGCUUAGGACUUGCCUUACCUAAGCUGAAUCCUAUUGAUGUUGUUCUAAGGUCACGCCUUCGUACGGAGUUCUAUGAGUGCCUUGAAGACAUGAAUAAAUACUAGAGAUUUUAAGUAUUUUAUAUUUGAUUAAAUAAAUAAUGUCCAAAUUAAGGUCUUGAAUAUAAG